CAAUUUUUGGGGUAUAUAAACGCCUUGUUGAACUAGAUCAUCUACCUCAGGAGGAGAAGGCUAUACUUAAUUCACUGCAGAGUGGAACUAGACUUGUGGCUUGUUAUGUUCUCUAUUCAUCAGCCACAAUACUCUGUGCCAGUUUUGGUUCUGGAACACAUGCAUUUACACUGGAUCAUUCAACAGGAGACUUCAUUCUUACUCACCCAGGC
This 212-nucleotide unclassified non-coding RNA is filed under the name Hevea brasiliensis (rubber tree). The record is from RNAcentral. Lineage: Eukaryota; Viridiplantae; Streptophyta; Magnoliopsida; Malpighiales; Euphorbiaceae.